RNAcentral lists this ribosomal RNA (117 nucleotides) under Anoxybacter fermentans. The record is from RNAcentral. Lineage: Bacteria; Bacillati; Bacillota; Clostridia; Halanaerobiales.
UCCCGUGACGAUAGCGGAGGGGCCACACCUGUUCCCAUUCCGAACACAGAAGUUAAGCCCUCCAGCGCUGAUGGUACUGCAGGGGAGACUCUGUGGGAGAGUAGGACGUUGCGGGAA